CAAAUUAAAGCUUUAUAGGGAAGCGUUUUAUUUACACUAAAGAGAUUAUUUUAUAGAUGUAGUUUGA
Molecule: transfer RNA, 67 nt
Filed under: Anisandrus dispar
Lineage: Eukaryota; Metazoa; Arthropoda; Insecta; Coleoptera; Curculionidae
Description: tRNA-Val
Source: RNAcentral